GCACUUGUAGCUCAGUGGAUUUAGAGCGCCCCGCUACGGACGGGGAGGUCGAGGGUUCGAAUCCUUCCUGGUGCACCA
RNAcentral lists this transfer RNA (78 nucleotides) under Salmonella enterica subsp. enterica serovar Enteritidis. RNAcentral describes it as "tRNA-Arg". It matches the Rfam family "tRNA". From Rfam's summary of the family: Transfer RNA (tRNA) molecules are approximately 80 nucleotides in length. Their secondary structure includes four short double-helical elements and three loops (D, anti-codon, and T loops). Further hydrogen bonds mediate the characteristic L-shaped molecular structure. tRNAs have two regions of fundamental functional importance: the anti-codon, which is responsible for specific mRNA codon recognition, and the 3' end, to which the tRNAs corresponding amino acid is attached (by aminoacyl-tRNA synthetases). tRNAs cope with the degeneracy of the genetic code in two manners: having more than one tRNA (with a specific anti-codon) for a particular amino acid; and 'wobble' base-pairing, i.e. permitting non-standard base-pairing at the 3rd anti-codon position. Lineage: Bacteria; Pseudomonadati; Pseudomonadota; Gammaproteobacteria; Enterobacterales; Enterobacteriaceae. The record is from RNAcentral.